CGNUGCUUGCGNGUGNGACCNCUUUUUAAAUGCAUNACCUAACUUANAACCUCNUUCGGGAGGGGAUUAGUGGCGAACGGGUGAGUAACACGUGGGCAAUCUGCCCUUCACUCUGGGACAAGCCCUGGAAACGGGGUCUAAUACCGGAUACGACUGCGGGAGGCAUCUCCUGUGGUGGAAAGCUCCGGCGGUGAAGGAUGAGCCCGCGGCCUAUCAGCUUGUUGGUGGGGUAACGGCCCACCAAGGCGACGACGGGUAGCCGGCCUGAGAGGGCGACCGGCCACACUGGGACUGAGACACGGCCCAGACUCCUACGGGAGGCAGCAGUGGGGAAUAUUGCACAAUGGGCGAAAGCCUGAUGCAGCGACGCCGCGUGAGGGAUGACGGCCUUCGGGUUGUAAACCUCUUUCAGCAGGGAAGAAGCGAAAGUGACGGUACCUGCAGAAGAAGCGCCGGCUAACUACGUGCCAGCAGCCGCGGUAAUACGUAGGGCGCAAGCGUUGUCCGGAAUUAUUGGGCGUAAAGAGCUCGUAGGCGGCUUGUCACGUCGGAUGUGAAAGCCCGAGGCUUAACCUCGGGUCUGCAUUCGAUACGGGCUAGCUAGAGUGUGGUAGGGGAGAUCGGAAUUCCUGGUGUAGCGGUGAAAUGCGCAGAUAUCAGGAGGAACACCGGUGGCGAAGGCGGAUCUCUGGGCCAUUACUGACGCUGAGGAGCGAAAGCGUGGGGAGCGAACCAGGAUUAAAUACCCUGGUAGUCCCCCCCGUAAACGUUGGGAACCUANGUGUUUGGCGACAUUCCACGUUNGUCGGUGCCCNCAACUNACCCAUUAAGUUNCCCNCCUGGGNAUUCCGCCCCAAGGNUAAACUNAAAGGAAUUGACGCGGCCCCNCNCANCGGNGAAA
Molecule: ribosomal RNA, 901 nt
Filed under: Streptomyces sp. LK1112.3
Lineage: Bacteria; Bacillati; Actinomycetota; Actinomycetes; Kitasatosporales; Streptomycetaceae
Description: partial 16S ribosomal RNA
Rfam family: Bacterial small subunit ribosomal RNA
Source: RNAcentral